AGAAUCAACACUGCUGCUGUAAAGAAUAGUGAUUUUAGCACAAACAGCAGAGAUUUUCUUUGGAAAUCUAACUGCCAAUUCAGACAAAUUUGCCAUGGUGUGAUAUACACAAGGCCCUGGCCACGGUGCCUCUUGAUGCUCAAGGUGAACGUAUCAAUAGCAUCUUUCUGCCGAAUAAACAUGAAUCAUCCAACUUUGGCUGGAAAACUGAAGACAUAUAACUAAACAAAGGAGGAUCCCAUUCUACCUGACACGCUGACUCUGAAAUCUCAACUUCGUUAUGACAUUGCCCAACAUCACUAUUGUGGACUAACUGUCCUGGAUUUUUUUCUUCCUUUUUCCUUACUUUUCCUUUGCUUGAUGGAUGUGUUUAUUUUUUGGAUUGUCUUCCACCCAAUAGAUGGACUGAAGCAGUAAUGCUCGGCAGAUUUCUGCCAGCUUCACUGGAAAAUUUACAGCUGUCUUUGGAGGGUAAAACGACCAAAAUCUCAC
This 492-nucleotide long non-coding RNA is filed under the name Triticum aestivum (bread wheat). Its description in RNAcentral is "long non-coding RNA (TAES_LNC017697)". Lineage: Eukaryota; Viridiplantae; Streptophyta; Magnoliopsida; Poales; Poaceae. The record is from RNAcentral.